RNAcentral lists this ribosomal RNA (492 nucleotides) under uncultured bacterium. RNAcentral describes it as "partial 16S ribosomal RNA". It matches the Rfam family "Bacterial small subunit ribosomal RNA", at positions 29 to 507 of the family's 1533-position model. The record is from RNAcentral.
AGUGAACGCUGGCGGUAGGCCUAACACAUGCCAGUCGAACGGCAGCACAGUGAGAGCUUGCUCUUACGGGUGGCGAGUGGCGGACGGGUGAGGAAUACAUCGGAAUCUACUUUUUCGUGGGGGAUAACGUAGGGAAACUUACGCUAAUACCGCAUACGACCUACGGGUGAAAGCAGGGGAUCUUCGGACCUUGCGCGAUUGAAUGAGCCGAUGUUGGAUUAGCUAGUUGGCGGGGUAAAGGCCCACCAAGGCGACGAUCCGUAGCUGGUCUGAGAGGAUGAUCAGCCACACUGGAACUGAGACACGGUCCAGACUCCUACGGGAGGCAGCAGUGGGGAAUAUUGGACAAUGGGCGCAAGCCUGAUCCAGCCAUACCGCGUGGGUGAAGAAGGCCUUCGGGUUGUAAAGCCCUUUUGUUGGGAAAGAAAAGCAGCAGGUUAAUACCCCGCUGUUCUGACGGUACCCAAAGAAUAAGCACCGGCUAACUUCGUG